GAUGAACGCUGGCGGCGUGCCUAAUACAUGCAAGUCGAGCGAACAGAUAAGGAGCUUGCUCCUUUGACGUUAGCGGCGGACGGGUGAGUAACACGUGGGUAACCUACCUAUAAGACUGGAAUAACUCCGGGAAACCGGGGCUAAUGCCGGAUAACAUUUAGAACCGCAUGGUUCUAAAGUGAAAGAUGGUUUUACUAUCACUUAUAGAUGGACUCGCGCCGUAUUAGCUAGUUGGUAAGGUAACGGCUUACCAAGGCAACGAUACGUAGCCGACCUGAGAGGGUGAUCGGCCACACUGGAACUGAGACACGGUCCAGACUCCUACGGGAGGCAGCAGUAGGGAAUCUUCCGCAAUGGGCGAAAGCCUGACGGAGCAACGCCGCGUGAGUGAUGAAGGUCUUCGGAUCGUAAAACUCUGUUAUUAGGGAAGAACAAAUGUGUAAGUAACUGUGCACGUCUUGACGGUACCUAAUCAGAAAGCCACGGCUAACUACGUG
RNAcentral lists this ribosomal RNA (497 nucleotides) under uncultured bacterium. RNAcentral's name for it is "partial 16S ribosomal RNA". It matches the Rfam family "Bacterial small subunit ribosomal RNA", at positions 28 to 507 of the family's 1533-position model. The record is from RNAcentral.